Molecule: long non-coding RNA, 167 nt
Organism: Poecilia latipinna (sailfin molly)
Lineage: Eukaryota; Metazoa; Chordata; Actinopteri; Cyprinodontiformes; Poeciliidae
Exons: 2
Source: RefSeq, a predicted model, not a curated record
UCACGGGUUAUUUUCGGAACACAACCCCUAAGAAAAACAAGGGUUCACUGUAAAUGUAGUGUUUACUUCAUUUUUUCUACAGCAAAAGUUUUGUUAUAAAAGCAUAAAAGGCUAAAUUUCUAAAUGUUGUAAAAACAUUUUUUUUUUUUUUUAUAAAAAUCUGUGGG